GGUGAGUAACACGUGGGCAACCUGCCUGUAAGAUCGGAAUAACCCCGGGAAACCGGGGCUAAUGCCGGGUAAUACUUUCUUUCGCAUGAAGGAAAGUUGAAAGAUGGCUUCUAGCUAUCACUUACAGAUGGGCCCGCGGCGCAUUAGCUAGUUGGUGAGGUAACGGCUCACCAAGGCGACGAUGCGUAGCCGACCUGAGAGGGUGAUCGGCCACACUGGGACUGAGACACGGCCCAGACUCCUACGGGAGGCAGCAGUAGGGAAUCUUCCGCAAUGGACGAAAGUCUGACGGAGCAACGCCGCGUGAACGAUGAAGGUCUUCGGAUCGUAAAGUUCUGUUGUUAGGGAAGAACAAGUACCGUGCGAAUAGAGCGGUACCUUGACGGUACCUAACGAGGAAGCCCCGGCUAACUACGUGCCAGCAGCCGCGGUAAUACGUAGGGGGCAAGCGUUGUCCGGAAUUAUUGGGCGUAAAGCGCGCGCACGCGGUUCCUUAAGUCUGAUGUGAAAGCCCACGGCUCAACCGUGGAGGGUCAUUGGAAACUGGGGAACUUGAGGACAGAAGAGGAGAGUGGAAUUCCACGUGUAGCGGUGAAAUGCGUAGAUAUGUGGAGGAACACCAGUGGCGAAGGCGACUCUCUGGUCUGUUUCUGACGCUGAGGUGCGAAAGCGUGGGUAGCAAACAGGAUUAGA
Molecule: ribosomal RNA, 693 nt
Filed under: Halobacillus trueperi
Lineage: Bacteria; Bacillati; Bacillota; Bacilli; Caryophanales; Bacillaceae
Description: bacterial SSU rRNA
Rfam family: Bacterial small subunit ribosomal RNA
Source: RNAcentral